UUUGCUUCUCUGCCGAUCUUUAUCUUAGUGCCUCAAACAGUAACGACUGAAGUUUGUCUAUAAUAGUAGUGCCUACGGGCAAGUUAAACAAUGCAAAGGAAAUACUCAAGAUGUCUACUAAGAUAAAAGGUCAAGUUAAGUGGUUCAAUGAGGCUAAAGGUUUUGGUUUUAUUACGCCGUUGGACGGUGGUAAAGAUGUGUUUGUACACUUUUCUGCCAUUCAGUCAACCGGGUUUAAAACCUUAGCGGAAGGCCAAAACGUAGAAUUUGAAAUUACUGAUAGGGUGAAAGGACCAUCGGCAGCUAAUGUUAGUUCCAUUUAACCGAUCAACGCUUGAUAUAAAACCCGUCUUGCGACGGGUUUUUUU
Molecule: small RNA, 368 nt
Filed under: Candidatus Regiella insecticola 5.15
Lineage: Bacteria; Pseudomonadati; Pseudomonadota; Gammaproteobacteria; Enterobacterales; Enterobacteriaceae
Description: Candidatus Regiella insecticola R5.15 cspA thermoregulator
Rfam family: cspA thermoregulator
Source: Rfam by way of RNAcentral